AGCUUUGAAAGACUGCGCAGUCUGCAGGAAGCCUGUCAGGGGAACUGUCCGCGCUUUCUUGGGCUAGACACUAGAGUCAUCGAAGAUCAGAAGUUGUUAUCGUUUCAACUGUACUCAUUUUAAUAAGAGUUAGACAGCUGUUAACAUUAAAAAUAAAGUCCAGGAUGUAUUUAGAAUUUUGUAUACCCUGGAUUAGAAUGAC
Biomphalaria pfeifferi is the source of this 202-nucleotide non-coding RNA. The record is from the annotation of a GenBank genome assembly. NCBI's taxonomy places the organism in Eukaryota, Metazoa, Mollusca, Gastropoda, Planorbidae.